This 76-nucleotide transfer RNA is filed under the name bacterium. Its description in RNAcentral is "tRNA-Asn". It matches the Rfam family "tRNA". Rfam says of the family: Transfer RNA (tRNA) molecules are approximately 80 nucleotides in length. Their secondary structure includes four short double-helical elements and three loops (D, anti-codon, and T loops). The record is from RNAcentral.
UCCCCCUUAGCUCAGUCGGUAGAGCGAGAGACUGUUAAUCUCCAGGUCCAUGGUUCGAGUCCAUGAGGGGGAGCCA